UAACCUGGAGGAAGGUGGGGAUGACGUCAAAUCAUCAUGCCCCUUAUGAUCUGGGCUACACACGUGCUACAAUGGCGUAAACAAAGAGAAGCAAGACCGCGAGGUGGAGCAAAUCUCAAAAAUAACGUCUCAGUUCGGACUGCAGGCUGCAACUCGCCUGCACGAAGCUGGAAUCGCUAGUAAUCGCGAAUCAGAAUGUCGCGGUGAAUACGUUCCCGGGUCUUGUACACACCGCCCGUCACACCAUGGGAGUCAGUAACGCCCGAAGUCAGUGACCCAACCGCAAGGAGGGAGCUGCCGAAGGCGGGACCGAUAACUGGGGUGAAGUCGUAACAAGGUAGCCGUAUCGGAAGGUGCGGCUGGAUCACCUCCUUUCUAAGGAA
Molecule: ribosomal RNA, 383 nt
Filed under: Salmonella enterica subsp. enterica serovar Enteritidis
Lineage: Bacteria; Pseudomonadati; Pseudomonadota; Gammaproteobacteria; Enterobacterales; Enterobacteriaceae
Description: bacterial SSU rRNA
Rfam family: Bacterial small subunit ribosomal RNA
Source: RNAcentral